AGAGUUCCGGUGUGAGAGCGUGUGCAUGAGAGUGAGUGCGAGUGUUGCAUCUUCUUUCAGCGAGGAUCUUCGUGAGGAGUCUGUGGAGCCAGCGCAGGUGAAGCUGAUCUGUCUCAUCAGCGUGCUGGAAUAUAGGAGCGGCAGAACCCUUCAGUCUUCGCUAGAUGGUUAAUGCAUACCGGUAGUCACUCUGGCCUCACCUGUUGAUCUUGUUUCUAGAACUUUGUUGUGCAACUCGUAGCGACUAGCUCUCUGUGUCCUGUUCGUUGUUUAAAGAAUUUUUUUGUCUUCUCUUUUCAAGAACUUGCCGAGAAUACCUGCCUGCCUGCUCCGCCGUUUCCACCGACCCCCUCUCGCUCCAACCACCCGCGAUUCCGCCUCGCACCCGCCCUAGGCACCGUAGCACUCCCUCGCACCGGACCCUGGCACCUCACCCCCACGCUCUGAAAGAUCCACGCCAAAUGCCACCUGGUCGGGCGACCCUCGCCCUCCUGCCGAAGUCCAGAGAACUGAAUAUAAUUUGUCCUGUUGUAAAUAAAUCACUUACCUUUUCCA
Molecule: long non-coding RNA, 555 nt
Organism: Xiphophorus couchianus (Monterrey platyfish)
Lineage: Eukaryota; Metazoa; Chordata; Actinopteri; Cyprinodontiformes; Poeciliidae
Exons: 2
Source: RefSeq, a predicted model, not a curated record